Molecule: long non-coding RNA, 346 nt
Filed under: Androctonus crassicauda
Lineage: Eukaryota; Metazoa; Arthropoda; Arachnida; Scorpiones; Buthidae
Source: RNAcentral
CUGACAAACUAUUUUCUGAUUUAAACAAAAAUAUUGAAUGGAUAAGAUAUCUGUACAACAUUAAUACAACAUCCAUGCCAGGUUUAUCGCAUGCGGAAGAAGGGCAAUUGUUGGAAUUAGCUUCAGACGGAUUCUUGAGAAAUAAACAUAAGGAGUGUACAUUAUCAUCAUUUUGGUUGCAAAUGCAACAUGUGUAUUCAAUUUUAACAGAAAAAGUCCUGAAAUAUAUCUUCAUGAGAAUUAACAGAGAGACUGUCGGCCCAGAAUCCACUCUAGAAAGCAAUUCUAGCGAGAAUAAUUCUGAAAGAGAAGAAACACAACUGGAUACCAAGUCGAAUGAGUUACA